Molecule: small nucleolar RNA, 138 nt
Filed under: Ornithorhynchus anatinus (platypus)
Lineage: Eukaryota; Metazoa; Chordata; Mammalia; Monotremata; Ornithorhynchidae
Source: RNAcentral
CCCUUCUCAGGGUCACACGUGGAGAGUUUCCAGUGCUCUACCAAUCUUGACUAUGGGAGGGAGAGUCAAGCAGAGGCCUACCCAUUCCAUUCCUAGCUUGGGCAGUGGCUAGCGAGUGGAAGUCAACCUGCUACAAGU